UUCAGCGGUACAGAAAGCAGCGGUGAAGCAGUGUCGUCUGUCGUGACUCACCACACUGAUUCGUGGCAAAUGCUUCAUAACACUGAAUGAACCAUUUCGACACGUUGCUUGAUAUAUAUUUACUGCUUCAGAAAGCUAAGGUUUCUCCAUCACUAGUACGACCCUAAUUUCCAAAUGUUCCACGUGACGUUGAGACGUGUUUGAUGCACGAAUUCUUCUUUGUUUGUAUGUUUGUUUUCUUUUGAUGCACGAGUUCUUUAGAGCGUCAUCCUCCAGCCUUUGUGUCGUUGGACGUGCGUGCGUGCGUGCGUGACGUAGUCAAGCUUGUGUGUCUGUCACAGAGCGAAAGAGGCUUGCGUCGUAUUAAAUUCUCCUCUGAAGUUUAUCUGGCUGAUCUUCUAUCUGGACCUGAGAGAUGAAGAAGGCACAAUCGCUCCUUUUCCAAGCGUUGACCGUGCUUGGCAUUUGGGCUUCGCUUGGUGAGUUCACGUUUUUAUUUGACUUCAAGGUUCACUGCAAACGUUGUUGGGACUGGAUUUGUUUCUUCAGAUCAUUAGGGGAUCAAUAUAAAAGGGCAUUUUAUUGGCCCCACCUCGGGGAAAUGUAUACUUGUCAGAUUACUAGACAUAUUAAGCAAACUGUCAGUCUCAUUUGAAACAAUGGAAACAAUACAUAAUACAUCCGCGGUUUUGAGACACUUUCUGAUCCGACUGUGAACUUUUGAAAAAAGGGUGUAGUAAAGCCUAUUUAAAACUAACGACUGACUUUAAGCAUUGAUAUACCACUCAUUUAACUCACUGACCGCCACUGACUGAAAACCUGAAACAUUCACUUCGGUUUGCCUUGGAAGGCUGCAAAUGGAUUGGACGUCUAGCACCGUCAUUGGCACAGAAACGUGAGAAUCCAUAGCCAGUCCUCCCAGUUAAGAAUAAGCGCACUUCUGUUGUUGUCAGUAGUAAGCUAAACGAACCAAAAUUAUACAUUAAUACAAAUGUAUAUAUAUAACUAUUUUAAAACUAUUAAAAUUAUUAUGAAUUAAAAAAAAAUAACACUAAAUAUUACUAUUAAAUUGUAUAAUAAUAAUUUUAAUUUAAUAAUAAUAAAUUUAAUAAAUUCAUAAUAAUUUAUUUUUUAAUUUAAUUUUAUAGUAUUAUAUAAUACUAUAUUAUUAGUAGUAGUAGUAUUACUAAAUAUAAUAACACUAAAUAUAUAAUACUAAGUAUUGACUAAUGGCAGUUAAAUACUCUUGUAGUUUAGUUUUGGUUAGUUUUAGUUUUAUACUAAAGGGUCAUAGUAUUUACCUAUGAUAUAAAUAAAUAUCUACUUUUUUUAAUUCCAUUAUAAUCUUAAUGAUUUUUUAAUCAAUAAAUUAUCAAUAAACCCAAUAGAUUUGUAUUAAUGUAUAAUUGUAUUUUUUCAUAUAUAAAUAAAAUUAACAUUAAAAAAUAAAAAAUAAAUACAUAUAUGUUACAGUUCUACAUGGACUGAGGUUUUCAAUGCAACGCUUCACAUUCCAGGUGUUUUGUUUCACAUUGCGAGAUGGAUAAUUUUGUAUGUGGUGCUUGUGUGUGUGUUUUGUCAUAAUGUAUCAAACGUAGGAAGAGAAUGUCCAAAAGACAUGUGCUUCAACACAACAGAAAACUUAGCUCCAAAACCAUUGUCUGUGAUCUCAAUUGAUCUGGAUCAUGAAUACAUAUAGGUUGAGGUGCUGGAGGGGGAGGGAUAAUUGAACUUUUAAUGACCGAAGGGAAAACAAACAACAACAAAAAACCUGCAGUUGAACACAAUCUUGAUGACUUUUACAAUUGUUGUUACAAUAUGAUUAACACCCCCCACCAACACAAACCUAUAUAAAGACAAACCGAACACUUUAAAAUGCAACUUUUUUUCACCUCGACCUAUAACCUUACUCACCUUGUCUUCACUGAUGCAAAAGCAUCUAUUGCACUUUCAUAUGACAGUUGUUUUGGAAGGGCACUUCUUUCCUGGACUUGGUGGGCUUGGACUUGGUGCUCAUGUGGAUAAGUUCGCUGUAAAAUGACACAUUUCAAAGACAACCCUAUGCUGAGAGCUACAAACUCUUUUGUGAACAAGUGAUCCGUCAAAGGAUUAUCGUUGACAAAGAAGUGCUCAGAAUGGACAAGCCAAGAAGGUUGUUCGUGAACAUCGUGAAGAACCAUGAGGAUCUUGAUGCUUCAGACUACAGGCGGGAUAUGCUGAAAAGAAGAUUGAAGUGUGAUUUCCCCCAAUUAGUUUUUUAUGGGGAGAGAUUUGUCUCAAAAAUAUUCUCACAAAUGCUUUCGCGAUUCACACAUAUCUUUUGUAGAUGCACAAAUAUAUCAGAGAUUUUCACAUGUAUUUUCGAGAUCCACAAAUAUAUCCAUGAGUUUCACAUGUGUUUUUGUAAUUCACAAGUAUAUCCUCGAAAUUCACAUGUGUUUUUUUUAUGUAGUGCGUGCACUCAUCAUGAAUUAUUGUUUGUAAGCAUUCGAAUUGUAUAUGGGAAUCAGCGGCCGAGUGCAUUUAUUUUUGAGACAAACAUAACAAGAAACGGUCAAAUUUUCUCACACAAGCGCAUUCGCGAUUCACACUUGUGUUUUUCGAAUUCACAAAUACAUCCGCGAUUCUCACAAAUACAUUAGUGAUUUUCACACGUGUUUUUCAGAUCCACAAAUACGUCCGCGUUUUCCUCGUGUGUUUUUUAAAUCCACAAAUACUUCCGCAAAUGUCGCAUGUUUUUUUUAAUGAUGUGCGCGCAAUUAUCAUGACUUGACAUUUUUUAAGCAUUCAGUUUUGCUUGUGAAUUGCUGGAGCUGUGUUUUUUUUGUUUUUGUUUUUUUUUUUAAACAGCGAACACGCGCAUUUCUUUUUGAGACAAACGUCACUCGAUGUUUCACCAAGAUUUUCUCACACACAGUAAACCAAGAAUUUUCACGUGUCUCAAAUAACCUCCGCCUCAGUCCGAUAGGCGGCAGUAUUGAGCGCAUAGAAAGGUCAAAAGUGCCCAUCAACACAGAUGGCAAAUGGUGUUCUACUUAUGUAGCGCUUUUCCACCUUUCAAGGCGCUCAAAGCGCUUUACACUACAUCGCCAUCUACAUACAGGUGACGCAGCACCAGGAGCAAUGUGGGGUUCAGUAUCUUGCUCAAGGAUACUUAGGCGAGUUCAUCAGGGCAGAGAAUUGCACAACCUCUGGGUUGGGGGACAACUACUCUACCGCAGAGCCACGCCAUCCCCAUCCCCAGAUCACAUACGGACACCUAGCGGGUGACAUUACACCGGGCAACAGAUAAACAGGUGUCUUGGGUCCGUUGGAAAACCUACCCUAUUCCAUUUUUUGUUUUUAUGUGUGUUAAUAAAAAAAAAAAAAAAAAAAAAGAGAAAUGAAUCAUCUCCCGUUUCCCAAUUAAAAACUGCUAAUUCAAUAACGGAAACGAGACUUAAUCCAUUUUACCAAUUAAUGGUUUUGAGCUGAAGUCGAAAAACAAAAUAUGUCCAAUAUUUGUUUUUAUUAACAAAAAAAAAAAAAACAACAGCACAAAUAUGCCAGGGGGUUAUAAACAUUUCAAACAUUGCACAUCAGGAAAAUAACAAAACAAAACAAAAACAAAAAAACAAUGAAUAAUGCUGUGAGCAAUUAUUCACAAAGAGAUUCAAGUUUUUCCACAAAUAUUGUUAUUUUCCGCUUUUAGAUUAUUUGAUUUUUUAAACAGAUUUAUGUAGCACACAGUCUCGUUAUGAAAGUGAGAAAAAGAAGGUAACAGCUUGCUAAAUUUACAUUUGUGUAGGUAGAAUUUCGACAAAAUGACAAGAUUAAUAAUAGAAACAAUCUCUUUCUUGAGAUUCUUAUAGAAACAAAAACAAAAAAGACAUUUUCCCAUUUGAGUUUGAAGUCCACAUGUGUAGGCUCCUGAUUCUGAACUUGCAAAGUUCUUUCCAAAAUUUAUUGGAAAAAGAGCAGGUCCAAAAAAGGUGCUGAACUGUCUCUGUAUCAAUGUCCCACUUUAAUUUUUUUCAUGUAGUGGUUUGCAGGAUAGUACUUAUCUAUAGAUAAUUUUGAAAGCGACUUCUUUGACCUUACUUGUCAACCGAAACAUAUUGGGGAUAGUCCAUACUUAGGCGUGGACCAAAUGAUAUCUCCAAAAAGACUUAACAUAUGCUUUGGAUCUAAUCUCGUUCUGAAAUAGAGAUCGAGUAUAUCUAUUCAAAUUUUUGUUAUGUAGUAAACAUAAUUUCCCCACACUUGAAUUUAGUAUAUUUGGAGGAGAUAAAGUUUGAAAUGGCAUGUUUACAUUUCUGCACAGCAUAAUGAAUCCUGAAGGAAUCGCAUCAUCAACACUAGCAUAUUGCUUAGGUCUAACUGGUAACUGAAAAUAAUCCCAAAACUCCGCGUAAAACAUAGGUGCCAUUAAAAAGUUGUGACACAAAAAGUGUCUUCUGCCUCUAAUUGUCCAAAAAUAAAGAUUUGUUUUUGCAAAGAAUUCAAUGAGCCAUGACCCGGAAGACGAGGCCUUAUUGAAGAAAAACAUCGUUUUCCGGUUCAAGGCUCAUUGUAAAAGCGAACUCGGAGGAAAACAAAUAUUGGUCGUAUUUUGUUUUUCGACUUCAGUUCAAUAAAUUGACAUUGUAAAAACGGAUUAAGGUUCGUUUUUCGUUUUUUAUUUUCCAAAAUUAGAAGGAAAAACAAACGGCCUCAAGGUACACGGACAGUCUUGAUAGUUCUUGAAGUUUGGGAAUCAUACUUUUAUAGUCUAUGCGCUCAAAACUGCCACCUAUCAGAUGAAGGCGGAGGUUAUUUGAGACACGUGAAAAUUCUCGGCUUACUGUGUGUGAGAAAAUCUUGGUGAAACAUCGAGUGACGUUUGUCUCAAAAAGAAAUGCGCGUGUUUGCUGUUAAAGAACACAGCUCCAGCAAUUCACAAGCAAAAUUGAAUACUUAAAAAAUGUCAAGUCAUGAUAAUUGCACGCACAUCAUUAAAAAACAUGCGAAACUUGCGGAAGUAUUUGUGGAUUUGAAAAACACUUGUGGAAAACGCGGACGUAUUUGUGGAUCUGAAAAACGCGUGUGAAAAUCACUCAUGUAUUUGUGAGAAUCGCGGAUGUAUUUGUGAAUUUGAAAAACACGUGUGAAUCGCCAAUGCACUUGUUCUUGUUAUGUUUGUCUCAAAAAUAAAUGCACGCGGCCGCUGAUUCACAAAUACAAUUCGAAUGUUUGCAAACAAUAAUUCAUGAUGAGUGCACGCACAACAUUAAAAAACACAUGUGAAUUUCGAGGAUAUAUUAGUGGAUUACAAAAACACAUGUGAAACUCAUGGAUAUAUUUGUGGAUCUCGAAAAUACAUGUGAAAAUCUUGGAUAUAUUUGUGCAUCGACAAAAGAUAUGUGUAAAUCGCGAAAGUAUUUGUGAGAAUAUUUUUGAGACAAAUCUCUCCCCAUAGUUUUUCACACCCCUUUCCAGCGCAACAUGUCUGAAAUGUUUUUUUUGUUUUUUUUGUUGGAGACUUUAUCAUCAACAGACAAACUUUUAGACAGGAUACCUCAGUCAUCAGGUACAUCAGCUACCGACUCUACUGAGAACAAAGAAGGACACUUUACAGUGCAGGGCUGCUAUUGAGGACCAUUCUAAGCGAAUCACCCUCACUGAAAUGCCCAUGGCCUCCCACAGCAGAAGAUUUAAAUGUAUGUGAAGCGAAAGCUGUUGUGCCUGUUGAACAGUACAAUCGAUUGGUGCAACAGAAGAACCAACACUAGCCGGCAAAAGGGCAAACUACGAGGCAGCAGUAAUGCGACAUUGUCUGACUGGUAUGAUGUGUGCCCCUUCACCAAUUGGCAAUGGAUGGGACAUUGAGGAUGGUGAAUUAACAGUAAAAUGGAUGACUAGAAAUCCUGCCCCAGAUAGUGUGCUACAGGUAAUCCACUGUGGUUGCAAGAUAAGCAAGUGUGAGACUGAAAGAUGUUCAUGCUUGUCUGCAAAAAUGUCCUGUACAGAUUUAUGCCACUGCCAGGACUGUGAAAAUAUUUCAAAGGAAAUGGGAUGAUGACACUGAUGAUACUGAUAUUGAUGAGUAAUCACCCACCAUCUCUCCUAUGUUUAGUUUCAUUAUCAAAAUGUUACUCUCCAUUUUAACACCUUUAAAACAACAACAAAAAAAGGCUCUUUUCCCUUUUCCAAAAAAAUAGACCUUUGUUCAAUUUGACUGCCAAAAAAGAUGGAUGUUCCAAUGAAGUGCUAUUGUUUUAUUGAGAGUGCACAUUUCAUAUAUGUGUGUGUGUAUAUAUAUAUAUAUGUGUGUGUAUAUAUAUAUAUAUGUGUGUGUGUAUAUAUAUAUAUAUAUAUAUAUAUGUGUGUGUAUAUAUAUAUAUAUGUGUGUGUAUAUAUAUAUAUAUAUAUGUGUGUGUAUAUAUAUAUAUAUAUGUGUGUAUAUAUACACACUGAUACACUGCCCAUGGGAAAACCCAUGGACAGUGUAUCAAAUACUUGUUCUCCCCACUCUAUACAUAUAUAUUCCUAGAUUUUGACAAAAUUGGUGCAGGGAAACGUUGGGUGAACUUUUAACCCAAAGUUCAGAAGGGUAUUAUCUUAUCAAAAAAUGCAUUGAACAAGUAGUGCCCAGACAGUGGAACGAAACCCAUUUUCUAGGCACUUUUUCAGGGUCCACCCCAAGGCCUAAUUCUAUUUAACACAAGACUUAUUUUUCAUCCCAUACAAUUUAUUUAGCAAUUGGGGGAAAUUACUUAGAUACAUACUGUAAAAAUAUUGGAGUAGAGAGAUAAAAACAAUGAUGACAUUUUGCUGCUGUCUGUUGCAUUUUCCGCGUUCUGAAUCUUCCCCAUUGGGCUGAUUUCUAAAUCAGCUGAAAUCGUUACUCUGCCGACGUCAUCACCUAGAUGGAGGCACUAGAGCGCUACAAUGAUAGGCGGGGCUAAACGGCAGAUUAAAAGAAACAUUUCUCUUCAUCUGCGCUUUGCCAAAUUGUUGUAUAUAGUCGAAUGAUCUCAAAAUAUGAUUUUAAUUCACAUAAUAAUGCUAUUUAAUUUCAUCGUGUCACAGGCGCUUUAAAAGUCAGUGAUUGCAGGACUGGUUUACUUUCAAAAAGUGCUUGAGCCGAGUUUUGAGGGUUUGUAUUGCGGGACACUCCCUGAUGGCCCUACUAUGACCCUAGUCAUGGGGGCGGGGGCAAAUCAAAAAUUAAAUAGUAUUUUUUUAAAUUAAGAAACAAAGCACAUGAAAAAAAAAAUACAUAGUAAUGAAGUAAUAAAAUAGAAAUAAUUCUACAUGAAAUGAAAUUCAUUCUAAAAAAAAAAUCAAAACUUCAAAAUAUAAAUGAAAAAUUAUUGAAAUAAAUCAAGAUUAAAAAAAAUAAUAAUAAUAAUAACAUUAAUUCAAAUAAGUGUCCCAUGUGUGAAUUUUGCUGUGGGAAAGUUAUUCAUUUAAUUUUGUUUUGUUUGAUGAAUCUUGUGACCUCUCAUAUCUUAACUCUAUGGCUGCCUCUUACGGUAUUCAAUCCAUUUCAACUGAUUGUUCGAUCGCUUCCAGCCCCUCCCAGUUAAAAUGGAUUGGACGUCUAUCAAUAUCUUUUACUUAUUACCACAACAAAAAUUGUGACCUGGGCUGGCGGUGGUGAGGUAAACUAAUGAUAACUUUUGGAUAGAUGUCCACUGAUGUGACCACUGUAACCGAAAGGGUUAAACAUCAUCCUCAAAAAUAAAAAGUGCAAAUUACCACACAAAUGUUCCUUUUUGUGCUAUACACAAGUGUGGAUGCAACCCCGUUGGUUACAUAACUCUGUCGGAAUGGCUGACGGUUACCCAUUUGAUUAUUUCACCUUAUAACGCAUACUGUAGCUUGAUCUGAGGCUGAAAUGCAUCCCAACUCUUCUUUCUUGAUUUCUGUCCCAAUUUACAUCCAUUGUCCAGUUCACUGGCGCCUGUGGCACAGCUGUGAUGGUGUGUGAUGUAAUCCUACUUGGUUUAGUUAUUGUUGGGUAAAGAGACAUACUAUACAUUGUAUCCAAAAAAUUGUCCAUUGCUGCCAGUUUGCUUGGAUUUAAUAAAUCAAUAUUAAAAUCUCCACAGAUGAAGAAUGUUUUCUGCUUAAUAGUGGAAAACAAUUGGCUCAUCCAUUCAGUGAAGGAAUCAAUACAUGAACCCGGUGAUCGAUAGAUUCAACUGACAAUUAUAUUUUUCUUUUUUUCAUUGGAGAUCUCUAUUGUCAAACAUUCCAAGUGUUCUUGACAUAUCUAUUCAAUUCAAUUUUAUUUGUAUAGCCCUAAAUCACAACAAGGUUGUCUCAAAGGGCUUUGCAGAGGCAAUAUGAUACAAAAUCAGAAACAGCAAAUGAAGCAAUGAAGAUGAAUACAUACAUUUCAAGUCCUGGGCAUCCCCCAUCCUUAGACCCUCCAUGUCGGCAAGGAAAAACUCCAAAAACUCCAGAGUCUUUGGGAGAAAAUGAGAAACCUUGGGAAGUACCACACUGAGGAGAGAUCCACUCCCGGGACAGAUAGGCAGGGAGCACCAGUACUGCUAAUGGGAAUUAGCAGGCGAAGUUACAGUCCGUAAAGAUACAUUGGAGUAAAGGAACAAGAAGAGGUCCAUCUAGCCAGAUGAGACGGGGGUAGCAACGAGGACAUCCAUCCAGCCAGGGGUCCGGACAGUCAGGAGGCUGCAGCUGAAAAAGGGGUGGGGGGAAAGGGGAGACCGGGUGACGAGUGAUGAAGAGACUAGACAGAUAUUACCAUAUUACUAGAUAUUACCAUUGGAAAAUAGAAAUUAAGUAAGACAAGUGGUACUGUAGGUAGAGUGAGAAAAAGGAGAUAGAACUCAGUGGCUGUACUUCCCCCAGCAUUAUAGCUUCUAGUGCAGCUGUAUCUGUUAAUACCAUACAUUUAAUUGAUUUAUGAAUAUAUAGGGCAACUCCACCACCAGUUUUCUUUUCUCUAUGUAUUUUAAUUCGUAAUCAUCCAUAAGAAAAUCAAUACCUUUAUCAAUAUUAAACCACGUUUCUGUGAUCGCAAUUAUGCUGAAGGGGUGUGUAAAUUGGUGCAGAUAGUCUUUGGUAGAGCUGACAUUUUUGUACAUGCUUCUGCUGUUGAAAUGUAUAAUUGACAGUUUUGCCCAUUGAGUUGAUAUGAUUUUCAUACAGAUCUUGUGUAAAAAUAAUCGCAAUUGGUAACAGUAGAAGAAAAGAAAUGAUUGUCAGGAUCACUUUCUAUAUUAGGGACUCUUUUGUUGGACUCGUUGGAUUUAAAGGCCUCAAGUUCUAUUUGUUUGUUCUGAAGGGUUCGCAGAAGUGGAUCAAUGUCGCUCUUAUUCCUGAGUACAGUUCGUGUGUUUGAUGUAUCG
This is a long non-coding RNA of Corythoichthys intestinalis (scribbled pipefish), 9341 nucleotides long. RefSeq lists it as uncharacterized. The record is from RefSeq and is a predicted model, not a curated record. The transcript has 5 exons. NCBI's taxonomy places the organism in Eukaryota, Metazoa, Chordata, Actinopteri, Syngnathiformes, Syngnathidae.